This 748-nucleotide ribosomal RNA is filed under the name Aphelenchoides fragariae. RNAcentral's name for it is "SSU rRNA". It matches the Rfam family "Eukaryotic small subunit ribosomal RNA", at positions 203 to 985 of the family's 1831-position model. The record is from RNAcentral. Lineage: Eukaryota; Metazoa; Nematoda; Chromadorea; Rhabditida; Aphelenchoididae.
CACUUAUCGGAGCAAAACCACUUCCUGGUUUUAUGCUAACUCUGGAUAACACUGCUUAUCGCAUGACCUUGCGUCGGCGAAAUUACAUUCAAGUAUCUGCCUUAUCUUCUUUCGAUGGUAGUGUAUUGGACUGCCAUGGUGUUGACGGGUAACGGAGAAUCAGGGUUCGACUCCGGAGAGGGAGCCUUAGAAACGGCUACCAGGUCUAAGGACAGCAGCAGGCGCGCAACUUAUCCACUGUUCAUUGAACGAGAUAGUGACGAGAAAUAACAAGUCCGUUCUCUAUGAGGUCGGACAUUGGAAUAGAUGAAAUCUAAACACUUUCAUGAGUACCUACGAGAGGGCAAGUCUGGUGCCAGCAGCCGCGGUAAUUCCAGCUCUCGUAAUGUAUAGAAUUAUUGUUGCGGUUAAAAAGUUCGUAGUUGGAUUUUCUACUGUUCGGGGGGUCGGCCCUAACGGGACGUACUCUUGGCAGUGUUUGCAUUCGCUUUGGAAGCAAUUUGAAAUUGAAUGCGGAUUACUUUGAACGGCUUAAGUGCUCAAGGCGAGUCUUCGGACUGAAUACCGGUGCAUGGAAUAAUGGAACAAGGUUUCGGCCGAGUUUUAUUGGUUUUGUCGGCUAAAACAAUGGUUAACAGGAACAGCUGGGGGCACUCGUAUCGCUGCGCGAGAGGUGGAAUUCGUGGACCGCAGCGAGACGCCCUAAAGCGAAGCCAUUUGCCAAGAGUGUUUUCAUUAAUCAAGAACG